This 433-nucleotide ribosomal RNA is filed under the name uncultured bacterium. RNAcentral describes it as "partial 16S ribosomal RNA". It matches the Rfam family "Bacterial small subunit ribosomal RNA", at positions 29 to 507 of the family's 1533-position model. The record is from RNAcentral.
AGCGAACGCUGGCGGCAGGCUUAACACAUGCAAGUCGAACGGGCACUUCGGUGCUAGUGGCAGACGGGUGAGUGACACGUGGGAACGUACCUUUCGGUUCGGAAUAAUCCAGGGAAACUUGGACUAAUACCGGAUACGCCCUUCGGGGGAAAGAUUCAUCGCCGAUAGAUCGGCCCGCGUCUGAUUAGCUAGUUGGUGAGGUAAUGGCUCACCAAGGCGACGAUCAGUAGCUGGUCUGAGAGGAUGAUCAGCCACAUUGGGACUGAGACACGGCCCAAACUCCUACGGGAGGCAGCAGUGGGGAAUAUUGGACAAUGGGCGCAAGCCUGAUCCAGCCAUGCCGCGUGAGUGAUGAAGGCCUUAGGGUUGUAAAGCUCUUUUGUCCGGGAAGAUAAUGACUGUACCGGAAGAAUAAGCCCCGGCUAACUUCGUG